Lactuca sativa (garden lettuce) is the source of this 1095-nucleotide long non-coding RNA. RefSeq lists it as uncharacterized. Lineage: Eukaryota; Viridiplantae; Streptophyta; Magnoliopsida; Asterales; Asteraceae. The record is from RefSeq and is a predicted model, not a curated record.
GAAAAAUAUAUUACCAUAUUAAGUCAUUUUUCCGGCUAACCAAGAGUAAACGGUUAUAAAAACUAAAUGAGUACAGUUUAAUAAUUUGAAAGGAUAAAUAUAGACGGAAAAAAAAAUCAAUAAAUCAAAUAAAAAUAUAUUACCAAAAACCCAACCUAGCUCGAACUGGAUAAGAGUUUGAAAUUUUUUGGAUAAGAGUUUGAAAUAUGUUGAAGAAGAUCAACGUCGAUUUGCUCCGAUCCCACUGACUCUAUUGUCGGUUCUAGUGCUGAUCUGUCUAACUUUCUAGCAAUUGGACAAAAAUCCCCAUUUUCCCUGUGUUUCCGUCUCCUACUGUCCGACACCACGACUUUGGCUGUCGAUUUGCAUCCACCAGUCCCGCUGCAGUCACCAGUCGACGCCACCAAGUCCGGCGCCAUAUCCGCCCACUGCCGCUCCCUCUUUCUCUUCUUUCCCAUCUUUUUACACUUGAGGAGUCGGGUGGAUAAACUCUUUUCCCACACCUCGCAUGUUCAGAAUUAGAUGACUUCAACCUUUGUUUUGCUCAUGUAUUCAGUUUCUUGCAAUUGCAAAUUCAAUUCUAUUAAUUUCUUUUGGAAUCACCAAAUCAGUUUAGUCUAGAAAUAAAAUGCAUUGAAAUACGCACUAAAAAAGUAUCCGAAACUGCAGUUAAUCUGGAAAUACAAGCAAAACAUCAUAAGUAAGUUUUAGUUGAUCUGUGGCUUAUAGCAAAACACCAUAGGUAUUGUUAACUAUCAUAUUGAGAUUUAAAAAAGCUACGGAGUCUAUGGAAAGAAGGUAAACUCGAAGAACUAAUCUAAUCAUCAAUUCCAGAUUCAUCUAAACACUGCCGAGAUACAAGGUAGAGAAAGCUUAAAGCCAUUUUUUUUUAUGUAUGAUCUGUGAAUUAUAUAGGAGUUUGUACUUUGUAUAUAUGCAAGCUGUAGAAGUUUUUAUAAUGUUUGUAGUUUGGAGUGUUAAAGUCGUAUAUUAGAUUUUUUAUUUGGAAAAUUUUCCAUAAAAAUCACUAUAAGUUGUAUUUGAAACUAUAGUUUGGACUUUGGAGUGUUAAAGUCGUAAAAGUUGUAUUUGAAA